CACGCAGGCGGCCAGCUAAGUCAGAUGUGAAAGCCCACGGCUCAACCGUGGAACUGCAUUUGAAACUGGUUGGCUAGAGGACGGUUGGGGUGAGUGGAACUCCUGGUGGAGCGGUGAAAUGCGUAGAUAUCAGGAGGAACACCAGUGGCGAAAGCGGCUCACUGGACCGUAACUGACGCUCAGGUGCGAAAGCUAGGGUAGCGAACG
RNAcentral lists this ribosomal RNA (207 nucleotides) under uncultured bacterium. RNAcentral describes it as "partial 16S ribosomal RNA". It matches the Rfam family "Bacterial small subunit ribosomal RNA", at positions 568 to 774 of the family's 1533-position model. The record is from RNAcentral.